This 188-nucleotide ribosomal RNA is filed under the name uncultured bacterium. RNAcentral describes it as "partial 16S ribosomal RNA". It matches the Rfam family "Bacterial small subunit ribosomal RNA", at positions 1314 to 1500 of the family's 1533-position model. The record is from RNAcentral.
GCCUGCAUGAAGUCGGAAUUGCUAGUAAUCGCAGAUCAGCAUGCUGCGGUGAAUACGUUCCCGGGCCUUGUACACACCGCCCGUCACACCAUGGGAGUCGGUAACACCCGAAGCCUGUAGUCUAACCCGCAAGGAGGACGCAGUCGAAGGUGGGAUUGAUGACUGGGGUGAAGUCGUAACAAGGUAAC